GACGAACGCUGGCGGCGUGCUUAACACAUGCAAGUCGAACGGAAAGGCCCUGCUUUUGUGGGGUGCUCGAGUGGCGAACGGGUGAGUAACACGUGAGUAACCUGCCCUUGACUUUGGGAUAACUUCAGGAAACUGGGGCUAAUACCGGAUAGGAGCUCCUGCUGCAUGGUGGGGGUUGGAAAGUUUCGGCGGUUGGGGAUGGACUCGCGGCUUAUCAGCUUGUUGGUGGGGUAGUGGCUUACCAAGGCUUUGACGGGUAGCCGGCCUGAGAGGGUGACCGGCCACAUUGGGACUGAGAUACGGCCCAGACUCCUACGGGAGGCAGCAGUGGGGAAUAUUGCACAAUGGGCGGAAGCCUGAUGCAGCAACGCCGCGUGCGGGAUGACGGCCUUCGGGUUGUAAACCGCUUUCGCCUGUGACGAAGCGUGAGUGACGGUAAUGGGUAAAGAAGCACCGGCUAACUACGUGCCAGCAGCCGCGGUGAUACGUAGGGUGCGAGCGUUGUCCGGAUUUAUUGGGCGUAAGGGCUCGUAGGUGGUUGAUCGCGUCGGAAGUGUAAUCUUGGGGCUUAACCCUGAGCGUGCUUUCGAUACGGGUUGACUUGAGGAAGGUAGGGGAGAAUGGAAUUCCUGGUGGAGCGGUGGAAUGCGCAGAUAUCAGGAGGAACACCAGUGGCGAAGGCGGUUCUCUGGGCCUUUCCUGACGCUGAGGAGCGAAAGCGUGGGGAGCGAACAGGCUUAGAUACCCUGGUAGUCCACGCUGUAAACGGUGGGUACUAGGUGUGGGGUCCAUUCCACGGGUUCCGUGCCGUAGCUAACGCUUUAAGUACCCCGCCUGGGGAGUACGGCCGCAAGGCUAAAACUCAAAGGAAUUGACGGGGCCCCGCACAAGCGGCGGAGCAUGCGGAUUAAUUCGAUGCAACGCGUAGAACCUUACCUGGGUUUGACAUGGAUCGGGAGUGCUCAGAGAUGGGUGUGCCUCUUUUGGGGUCGGUUCACAGGUGGUGCAUGCCUGUCGUCAGCUCGUGUCGUGAGAUGUUGGGUUAAGUCCCGCAACGAGCGCAACCCUUGUUCACUGUUGCCAGCACGUUAUGGUGGGGACUCAGUGGAGACCGCCGGGGUCAACUCGGAGGAAGGUGGGGAUGACGUCAAGUCAUCAUGCCCCUUAUGUCCAGGGCUUCACGCAUGCUACAAUGGCUGGUACAGAGAGUGGCGAGCCUGUGAGGGUGAGCGAAUCUCGGAAAGCCGGUCUCAGUUCGGAUUGGGGUCUGCAACUCGACCUCAUGAAGUCGGAGUCGCUAGUAAUCGCAGAUCAGCAACGCUGCGGUGAAUACGUUCCCGGGGCU
This 1345-nucleotide ribosomal RNA is filed under the name uncultured bacterium. Its description in RNAcentral is "partial 16S ribosomal RNA". It matches the Rfam family "Bacterial small subunit ribosomal RNA", at positions 28 to 1381 of the family's 1533-position model. The record is from RNAcentral.